This 247-nucleotide long non-coding RNA is filed under the name Ananas comosus (pineapple). Its description in RNAcentral is "long non-coding RNA (ACOM_LNC014026)". The record is from RNAcentral. Lineage: Eukaryota; Viridiplantae; Streptophyta; Magnoliopsida; Poales; Bromeliaceae.
CCAGGGUGGAGAAUGUUAGGAUUUGGUUAGAUUUGUAAUUGAUUUUCUUGUAUAAAUUAAGAUUUAAAUAUUAAUAAGAGAUUAAUAUUUAAAUCUGUUGAAGAUAAAUUAAGAUUUAAAUAUUAAUGAGAGAUUAAUAUUUAAAUCCAUUAGAGAUUAAUUAAGAUAGAUUUAAAUAUUAAUUAAAGUAGAAAUCCUAAAUAUAUUAGGAUUGGGGUACGUUUUGGUGGAGUUUUAUAAAUAGCUC